RNAcentral lists this ribosomal RNA (207 nucleotides) under uncultured bacterium. RNAcentral describes it as "partial 16S ribosomal RNA". It matches the Rfam family "Bacterial small subunit ribosomal RNA", at positions 568 to 774 of the family's 1533-position model. The record is from RNAcentral.
CGCGCAGGCGGUUUGUUAAGUGAGAAGUGAAAGCCCUCGGCUUAACCGGGGGACGGCUUCUCAUACUGGCAGACUAGAGGAUGGGAGAGGAAAGCGGAAUUCCCGGUGUAGCGGUGAAAUGCGUAGAGAUCGGGAGGAACACCAGUGGCGAAGGCGGCUUUCUGGACCAUUACUGACGCUGAGGCGCGAAAGCGUGGGGAGCAAACA